GGCAGGGACCUUCCGAUGCUUAAGUCAGAGAGAAAAGUUGGUGAACAGGAGUUGAAUGUAAACAAUAGCAGAGUUUUGGCCCAGUCUAAGCUUACCGGUCCUGUUUCCUUAUCCCUUUUUUAUAGAUGAAGUUUUUGUAACCGUCGGAUGUGGUCCCGUGUUUUAUGGCACUAAAUCAUCGGGCUAUAAUCACGUAGUGAAUCGUUAAUUCCCAC
Molecule: long non-coding RNA, 215 nt
Filed under: Elaeis guineensis (African oil palm)
Lineage: Eukaryota; Viridiplantae; Streptophyta; Magnoliopsida; Arecales; Arecaceae
Description: long non-coding RNA (EGUI_LNC025634)
Source: RNAcentral